UGGGGAAUAUUGGACAAUGGGCGCAAGCCUGAUCCAGCCAUGCCGCGUGAGUGAUGAAGGCCUUAGGGUUGUAAAGCUCUUUCGCCGGUGAAGAUAAUGACGGUAACCGGAGAAGAAGCCCCGGCUAACUUCGUGCCAGCAGCCGCGGUAAUACGAAGGGGGCUAGCGUUGCUCGGAAUCACUGGGCGUAAAGCGCACGUAGGCGGAUCGUUAAGUCAGGGGUGAAAUCCUGGAGCUCAACUCCAGAACUGCCCUUGAUACUGGCGAUCUCGAGUUCGAGAGAGGUUGGUGGAACUCCGAGUGUAGAGGUGAAAUUCGUAGAUAUUCAGAAGAACACCAGUGGCGAAGGCGGCCAACUGGCUCGAUACUGACGCUGAGGUGCGAAAGCGUGGGGAGCAAAACAGGAUUAGAUACCCUGGUAGUCCACGCCGUAAACGAUGGAUGCUAGCCGUUGGGGGGUUUACCUCUCAGUGGCGCAGCUAACGCCUUAAGCAUCCCGCCUGGGGAGUACGGUCGCAAGAUUAAAACUCAAAUGAAUUGACGGGGUCAUAGCUGUUUCCU
This 561-nucleotide ribosomal RNA is filed under the name uncultured bacterium. RNAcentral describes it as "partial 16S ribosomal RNA". It matches the Rfam family "Bacterial small subunit ribosomal RNA", at positions 355 to 1375 of the family's 1533-position model. The record is from RNAcentral.